AUGUCAUCAUGUGCAUUACAUUUUCAUACGUGUUCAUCUCAUGCAUUCGAGCUUUUUCCCCGUUAUCCGUUUUGCGUUCCGGCGCUUCGUUCUCCUCCGGUGGUCAUUUCUAGCUUUCUUUCAUGUGUGGGGAUUGAACAUUUCCGGAGUGGACCGAGACUUGUCAUGCGGCCUUGGUUUACUACCGGUAGACCGCCUAUCAAGUUUCGUAUCAUUUGGACUUCGAUUGAUACUCCAACGGUUAACCGAGGGACCGAAAAGGCCUCGUGUGGGUUGCAGCCCAACACCCCUCCAAUUUGGCCCAAAAACCCACCAAACUCUGCUCCAUCACCUAGAGCGUUCGAUCACGAUCGCGUGGCCGAAAACCGCACCUCAUUUGGACUCUCCUAG
Molecule: ribosomal RNA, 390 nt
Filed under: Triticum aestivum (bread wheat)
Lineage: Eukaryota; Viridiplantae; Streptophyta; Magnoliopsida; Poales; Poaceae
Description: partial small subunit ribosomal RNA
Source: RNAcentral